Molecule: ribosomal RNA, 456 nt
Filed under: uncultured Pelotomaculum sp.
Lineage: Bacteria; Bacillati; Bacillota; Clostridia; Eubacteriales; Desulfotomaculaceae
Description: bacterial SSU rRNA
Rfam family: Bacterial small subunit ribosomal RNA
Source: RNAcentral
AAGCGGUGGAGCAUGUGGUUAAUUCGACGCAACGCGAAGAACCUUACCAGGGCUUGACAUCCCCUGACCGCGUAUGAAAGUACGUUUUCACCUCGGGUGACAGGGAGACAGGUGGUGCAUGGUUGUCGUCAGCUCGUGUCGUGAGAUGUUGGGUUAAGUCCCGCAACGAGCGCAACCCCUACGUUUAGUUGCUAACGCGUGAAGGCGAGCACUCUAGACGAACUGCCGUUGACAAAACGGAGGAAGGUGGGGAUGACGUCAAAUCAUCAUGCCCCUUAUGUUCUGGGCUACACACGUGCUACAAUGGCCGGUACAGACGGACGCAAAGCCGCGAGGUGGAGCAAAUCCUAGAAAGCCGGUCUCAGUUCGGAUUGCAGGCUGCAAUUCGCCUGCAUGAAGUCGGAAUCGCUAGUAAUCGCAGGUCAGCAUACUGCGGUGAAUACGUUCCCGGGCCUU